CUUGUUUUGAAAUUCUUUACCUUGAGUUAGGAUGAGCUUAAUUGUAUGUGAUGAAAAGGUUCAAGUUUGGGGUUGUACGGGGGAAAAUUGAAAAAGAAAGUGAAAAGCAUUGAGCUCAAAUGUUGUGAAAAGAAAAUUUCAUGAGAAAAAGAAAAGAAAAGAAGAAAAGCAUGAAGAAGAGCUCAAUGAAAAAGAAAAGGGAAAAAUUGGGAAUGAGAGAGAUUGGUGAGGAAGAGAGUUGUGCUUAAAUGUUGAAUAUGUUGAUAGCUCUCUUGACUUAAGGAUUUUGCAUUCCGGAAAAACCAAUUCUUCUUGUUAGCCCAACCUCAUUACAAGCCUUGAAAAAGUCCUUUUGAUGACAUUUGCAUGUAAAGAUAUUGAUUUUUUGAGAUGAAUG
RNAcentral lists this long non-coding RNA (397 nucleotides) under Vigna radiata. Its description in RNAcentral is "long non-coding RNA (VRAD_LNC006714)". Lineage: Eukaryota; Viridiplantae; Streptophyta; Magnoliopsida; Fabales; Fabaceae. The record is from RNAcentral.